UUUAAAUUAUUCUUUGACAUUUCACAAAAGAACUAAAACCUAUAAAGUAAUUAUUUGGCUUGUAUUUCCUAGACUCAUUUGUCAAAAAUUAGUAGUCUUCUCUUGGAGAGCAUAUCUGUAAGCCCUCGACUUCAGACAUACAUUCUGUAAGUGCUUCUACAGAUGCUUGAUAUGCUAGAAUGAGCUUUUUUUCAGUGGUCUUGGGGUGGGUUUUUUUUUUUAUUGGCUUAUAAGACUGGAGAGAUCAAGUUAUUGGAGUUCAUUAUCCUCAAGUUAUUCUAAUUCAAAAUUAUGCUAAAACUAAAGAAGCAGAUUUAUGCACUUAGCAUGUGCAUGAAACAGUUUGGCACUGACCAGUAUAUAGAGGAAAAACAGUGUCUGAAGUCAAGAAUGGCUCAUCAAAUCUUGAAUGCUGAAGUAUGGCUUUUAUGGAUCCCUUUCUUUCUAGUGAGGCCAUCUUGAUCCUUCUCAUCAGGCAGCUAAUUUAGCCCUUCAAUUAGUUCUACUAACAAAUAUGGACAGUUAUGAUACAUAUAAGUAAAGCUGUAUGUGAAUUUCAAGCUGUUUAAUUAUGUGCAAUAUAGAUUAUAUAGUCACUCAUCCUGUAAACCAAUUAUUGGCUGU
RNAcentral lists this long non-coding RNA (624 nucleotides) under Musa acuminata (dwarf banana). RNAcentral describes it as "long non-coding RNA (MACU_LNC001745)". The record is from RNAcentral. Lineage: Eukaryota; Viridiplantae; Streptophyta; Magnoliopsida; Zingiberales; Musaceae.